This 587-nucleotide ribosomal RNA is filed under the name uncultured bacterium. RNAcentral's name for it is "partial 16S ribosomal RNA". It matches the Rfam family "Bacterial small subunit ribosomal RNA", at positions 355 to 938 of the family's 1533-position model. The record is from RNAcentral.
UGGGGAAUUUUGGACAAUGGGGGCAACCCUGAUCCAGCAAUGCCGCGUGUGUGAAGAAGGCCUUCGGGUUGUAAAGCACUUUUGUCCGGAAAGAAAUCGCCCUGGCUAAUAUCCGGGGUGGAUGACGGUACUGGAAGAAUAAGCACCGGCUAACUACGUGCCAGCAGCCGCGGUAAUACGUAGGGUGCAAGCGUUAAUCGGAAUUACUGGGCGUAAAGCGUGCGCAGGCGGUUGUGCAAGACAGAUGUGAAGUCCCCGGGCUUAACCUGGGAAUGGCAUUUGUGACUGCACGGCUAGAGUGUGUCAGAGGGGGGUAGAAUUCCACGUGUAGCAGUGAAAUGCGUAGAUAUGUGGAGGAACACCGAUGGCGAAGGCAGCCCCCUGGGAUAACACUGACGCUCAUGCACGAAAGCGUGGGGAGCAAACAGGAUUAGAUACCCUGGUAGUCCACGCCCUAAACGAUGUCAACUAGUUGUCGGGUCUUAAUUGACUUGGUAACGCAGCUAACGCGUGAAGUUGACCGCCUGGGGGAGUACGGUCGCAAGAUUAAAACUCAAAUGAAUUGACGGGGGUCAUAGCUGUUUCCU